This 465-nucleotide ribosomal RNA is filed under the name uncultured bacterium. RNAcentral describes it as "partial 16S ribosomal RNA". It matches the Rfam family "Bacterial small subunit ribosomal RNA", at positions 338 to 795 of the family's 1533-position model. The record is from RNAcentral.
CCUACGGGUGACAGCAGUGGGGAAUAUUGCUCAAUGGGCGAAAGCCUGACGCAGCGACGCCGCGUGAGGGAUGAAGGUCUUCGGAUCGUAAACCUCUGUCAGCAGGGAAGAACGGUCACUGUGCUAAUCAGCAGUGACUUGACGGUUCCUGCACAGGAAGCACCGGCUAACUCCGUGCCCGCACCCGCGGUAAUACGGAGGGUGCGAGCGUUCGUCGGAAUUACUGGGCGUAAAGCGCUCGUAGGCGGUAUGUCAAGUCAAGGGUGAAAUCCCCGGGCUUAACGUGGGAACUGCGUUUGAAACUGGUAAACUGGAGUGUGUGAGAGGAUAGUGGAAUUCCAGGUGUAGGAGUGAAAUCCGUAGAGAUCUGGAGGAAUAUCAGUGGCGAAGGCGACUAGCUGGAACAUAACUGACGCUGAGGAGCGAAAGCGUGGGUAGCAAACAGGAUUAGAUACCCUAGUAGUC